This 501-nucleotide ribosomal RNA is filed under the name uncultured bacterium. RNAcentral describes it as "partial 16S ribosomal RNA". It matches the Rfam family "Bacterial small subunit ribosomal RNA", at positions 30 to 523 of the family's 1533-position model. The record is from RNAcentral.
AUUGAACGCUGGCGGCAGGCUUAACACAUGCAAGUCGAGCGGGGGAAGGUAGCUUGCUACCGGACCUAGCGGCGGACGGGUGAGUAAUGCUUAGGAAUCUGCCUAUUAGUGGGGGACAACAUCUCAAAAGGGAUGCUAAUACCGCAUACGUCCUACGGGAGAAAGCAGGGGAUCUUCGGACCUUGCGCUAAUAGAUGAGCCUAAGUCGGAUUAGCUAGUUGGUGGGGUAAAGGCCUACCAAGGCGACGAUCUGUAGCGGGUCUGAGAGGAUGGUCCGCCACACUGGGACUGAGAGACGGCCCAGACUCCUACGGGAGGCAGCAGUGGGGAAUAUUGGACAAUGGGGGGAACCCUGAUCCAGCCAUGCCGCGUGUGUGAAGAAGGCCUUAUGGUUGUAAAGCACUUUAAGCGAGGAGGAGGCUACUUUAGUUAAUACCUAGAGAUAGUGGACGUUACUCGCAGAAUAAGCACCGGCUAACUCUGUGCCAGCCGCCGCGGUAA